AUUGAACGCUGGCGGCAGGCCUAACACAUGCAAGUCGAGCGGAUGAAGGGAGCUUGCUCCUGGAUUCAGCGGCGGACGGGUGAGUAAUGCCUAGGAAUCUGCCUGGUAGUGGGGGAUAACGUCCGGAAACGGGCGCUAAUACCGCAUACGUCCUGAGGGAGAAAGUGGGGGAUCUUCGGACCUCACGCUAUCAGAUGAGCCCAGGUCGGAUUAGCUAGUUGGUGGGGUAAAGGCCUACCAAGGCGACGAUCCGUAACUGGUCUGAGAGGAUGAUCAGUCACACUGGAACUGAGACACGGUCCUGACUCCUACGGGAGGCAGCAGUGGGGAAUAUUGGACAAUGGGCGAAAGCCUGAUCCAGCCAUGCCGCGUGUGUGAAGAAGGUCUUCGGAUUGUAAAGCACUUUAAGUUGGGAGGAAGGGCAGUAAGUUAAUACCUUGCUGUUUUGACGUUACCAACAGAAUAAGCACCGGCUAACUUCGUG
This 484-nucleotide ribosomal RNA is filed under the name uncultured bacterium. Its description in RNAcentral is "partial 16S ribosomal RNA". It matches the Rfam family "Bacterial small subunit ribosomal RNA", at positions 30 to 507 of the family's 1533-position model. The record is from RNAcentral.